AUGCUUUCCUUAUCUGGUUAAAACCUGACAAAUAGUUCAGUUUGAGGAACUAGUGUUUCCACGAAGCACUGCAACGCAGAAGGACAGAGUCUGUGGUUUUAGGGACGUAAUCUAAAAAAGGCCAACCUUGGAAUGAAAGUUCAAAAUAACAUCUCUAGGAAAAGGUCAAUUUUCAUGGCUUAAUGCAUUAGAAUAUAUCAAUGGAAUUAAUAAUAGGUUUAUCACAUUUUCUUCACCUACACCCAUCUCAGCCACCAGAUUCGCGAGAGAUUUAGCUACAGCAGAGAAAUGCUACUGCUGCCUGUUUUGCUCACUCCUCUCCAGAGAUUUCUGCCUCGACCACGGUGGUUAAAAAACUGGGAAGAAGCUUCUUGGCCCCUGCAGCUUAGUCUCUGCCGUUGUAGUUUCAGCCAGCUCCGUUCUCAAGUGUGUACUAUCAUCAUCCAGAGGAAGUCCUCCUUAAUCUCCGCUUGUCUUGAAUGA
This 483-nucleotide long non-coding RNA is filed under the name Anser brachyrhynchus (Pink-footed goose). Its description in RNAcentral is "lncRNA (ENSABRG00000003852.1)". Lineage: Eukaryota; Metazoa; Chordata; Aves; Anseriformes; Anatidae. The record is from RNAcentral.